RNAcentral lists this ribosomal RNA (253 nucleotides) under uncultured bacterium. Its description in RNAcentral is "partial 16S ribosomal RNA". It matches the Rfam family "Bacterial small subunit ribosomal RNA", at positions 524 to 776 of the family's 1533-position model. The record is from RNAcentral.
UACGUAGGGGGCAAGCGUUGUCCGGAUUUAUUGGGCGUAAAGCGCUCGCAGGUGGUUCGAUGCGUCGUGCGUGAAAGACCCCGGCUCAACUGGGGAGGGUCGUGCGAUACGGUCGAACUGGAGGCCAGUAGGGGGAUGCGGAAUUCCGGGUGUAGUGGUGGAAUGCGUAGAGAUCCGGAGGAACACCAGCGGCGAAGGCGGCAUCCUGGACUGGUCCUGACACUCAUGAGCGAAAGCGUGGGGAGCGAGCCGG